UUUUAAGAUUUAUUAUAGUUCCUUCCAUGUAGUGGAAUGUCUGUGAUUAGAAUCUAUGCCUAACUAAUAACUAGCUCCGUAUUUUUUUAAGAUUUUAUUUAUUUAUUUGACAGACAGAGAUAACAAGUAGGCAGAGAGGCAGGCAGAGAGAGAGGAGGAAGUAGGCUCUCCUCAGAGUCAUUUUUGGUCAAAGAGUAGAAAUAAGAAAAUUCUGUUUGAUUUUACAGGGGUGAGAGGAUCUCUCCUGCUUAAUUGAGAUGAUGAAGGACCAAUAAGAGAGCAGUUUUUGAAAUCCAGUUCCAAGGAUAUAUUUGUUUUAGAUGUGAAUGCUGAUUAAUGACUUCAGGUGUUAAAUGCAGCAAGUCCAUCUAUGCCAAAAUGGCCAUUAUGAAUAGUUUGUGAGUGAUCAUGAAGAACGUGUGAUUUAGAGACUAGUACAGCAGAGUUUUACACACUGAAACAGUAUUGUGGGAUACACGAAAAGAAUAUGGGAGAAGAUGGGAUAUGAGGUAGGUGCUAAAAUAUUGUAUUUGGGUUUACAAACACAUGAAUGAUUAGAAUUAACUGAAAUUUUUAUUGUCUUAUGUUAGUCACUACAACAUUACAUCAUUAGUUUUUAUAUAGUGUUCCACUAUUCAUAG
This 641-nucleotide long non-coding RNA is filed under the name Neogale vison (American mink). Its description in RNAcentral is "Neovison vison (American mink) lncRNA (ENSNVIG00000015527.1)". The record is from RNAcentral. Lineage: Eukaryota; Metazoa; Chordata; Mammalia; Carnivora; Mustelidae.